UACAGAGGUCUCGAGCGUUUGUUCGGAUUCAUUGGGCGUAAAGGGUGCGUAGGUGGCGUGGUAAGUCUGGUGUGAAAUCCCGGGGCUCAACCCCGGAACUGCACUGGAUACUGCCAUGCUUGAGUACUGGAGAGGAGAUUGGAAUUUACGGUGUAGCAGUGAAAUGCGUAGAUAUCGUGAAGGAAGACCAGUGGCGAAGGCGAAUCUCUGGACAGUUA
This 218-nucleotide ribosomal RNA is filed under the name uncultured bacterium. RNAcentral's name for it is "partial 16S ribosomal RNA". It matches the Rfam family "Bacterial small subunit ribosomal RNA", at positions 524 to 739 of the family's 1533-position model. The record is from RNAcentral.